Homarus americanus (American lobster) is the source of this 279-nucleotide long non-coding RNA. RefSeq lists it as uncharacterized. The record is from RefSeq and is a predicted model, not a curated record. The transcript is spliced from 2 exons. NCBI's taxonomy places the organism in Eukaryota, Metazoa, Arthropoda, Malacostraca, Decapoda, Nephropidae.
UGGCGCUGGUCACCGCCACAGAAUACGCUUUCCAACGGGUCAGGGUCGGAGUCUCCAGAAGAUACCAUAGGCGUCAUUAUGGAAAACCCUUCUACGGCUAAAGAUAGAGCGUUAUCUUCACUACACAUCUGCCAAGUGUUCGUUUUGUAUGAACACUGAUUUGCAAGGAAUAUAGUGUGUGUGUGUGUUUUACAGUGUUAAGUGUAAACGUGUAAAUUAUGCUAUUUUUAAUGAUUUUGUACUACUUCUACUUAAUGAAAUAUAACUAAAAAAUCUGGA